This 600-nucleotide ribosomal RNA is filed under the name Papiliotrema laurentii. Its description in RNAcentral is "eukaryotic LSU rRNA". It matches the Rfam family "Eukaryotic large subunit ribosomal RNA", at positions 79 to 668 of the family's 3401-position model. Lineage: Eukaryota; Fungi; Basidiomycota; Tremellomycetes; Tremellales; Rhynchogastremaceae. The record is from RNAcentral.
CCUAGUAACGGCGAGUGAACCGGGAAGAGCUCAAAUUUGAAAUCUGGCGUGCUCAGUGCGUCCGAGUUGUAAUCUAUAGAGUCGUUUUCCGUGCCGGACUGUGUCCAAGUCCCUUGGAACAGGGUAUCAAAGAGGGUGAUAAUCCCGUACUUGACACAAUGACCGGUGCUCUGUGAUACGUCUUCUACGAGUCGAGUUGUUUGGGAAUGCAGCUCAAAAUGGGUGGUGAGUUCCAUCUAAAGCUAAAUAUUGGCGAGAGACCGAUAGCGAACAAGUACCGUGAGGGAAAGAUGAAAAGCACUUUGGAAAGAGAGUUAAACAGUACGUGAAAUUGUUAAAAGGGAAACGAUUGAAGUCAGUCGUGACUGAGAGGCUCAGCCGGUUCUGCCGGUGUAUUCCCCUCAGUCGGGUCAACAUCAGUUUUGUUCGGUGGAUAAGGGCGGUUGGAAGGUGGCACCCUCGGGUGUGUUAUAGCCAACUGUCGCAUACAUCGGAUGAGACUGAGGAAUGCAGCUCGCCUUUAUGGCCGGGGUUCGCCCACGUUCGAGCUUAGGAUGUUGACAUAAUGGCUUUAAACGACCCGUCUUGAAACACGGACCA